GACGAACGCUGGCGGCGUGCUUAACACAUGCAAGUCGAACGGAAAGGCCCUGCUUUUGUGGGGUGCUCGAGUGGCGAACGGGUGAGUAACACGUGAGUAACCUGCCCUUGACUUUGGGAUAACUUCAGGAAACUGGGGCUAAUACCGGAUAGGAGCUCCUGCUGCAUGGUGGGGGUUGGAAAGUUUCGUCGGUUGGGGAUGGACUCGCGGCUUAUCAGCUUGUUGGUGGGGUAGUGGCUUACCAAGGCUUUGACGGGUAGCCGGCCUGAGAGGGUGACCGGCCACAUUGGGACUGAGAUACGGCCCAGACUCCUACGGGAGGCAGCAGUGGGGAAUAUUGCACAAUGGGCGGAAGCCUGAUGCGGCAACGCCGCGUGCGGGAUGACGGCCUUCGGGUUGUAAACCGCUUUCGCCUGUGACGAAGCGUGAGUGACGGUAAUGGGUAAAGAAGCACCGGCUAACUACGUG
This 468-nucleotide ribosomal RNA is filed under the name uncultured bacterium. Its description in RNAcentral is "partial 16S ribosomal RNA". It matches the Rfam family "Bacterial small subunit ribosomal RNA", at positions 28 to 507 of the family's 1533-position model. The record is from RNAcentral.